CUCGUCCAAACCAAAAUUCCCAUCAUCUUAAAUGCUCUACCACCAGCUAGCUUUUUGCUCGGUGGGCAUGUCGAAUUCGGUAACUUAAAAGUUUACCUUACAGAGCAGGGGAGGUUGAGACCCACCUUGUCCAUCUCCUGACAUUCCAUCUGCUCCCCAACCCUGUUGGCAAGGACACACUCCCUUCCGCUGUGACGGAACAAAAAACAUAAAAUUAGGGUGGUUGGGAGGGAAGUUGUUUGCUGGCCAGAAUCCCAAAAGGCACUGAGGUAAGAUGAUCCCUGCCCCACUACAAACCCA
Pelobates cultripes (western spadefoot toad) is the source of this 300-nucleotide non-coding RNA. The record is from the annotation of a GenBank genome assembly. Lineage: Eukaryota; Metazoa; Chordata; Amphibia; Anura; Pelobatidae.